This 429-nucleotide ribosomal RNA is filed under the name uncultured bacterium. Its description in RNAcentral is "bacterial SSU rRNA". It matches the Rfam family "Bacterial small subunit ribosomal RNA", at positions 355 to 775 of the family's 1533-position model. The record is from RNAcentral.
UGGGGAAUUUUGGACAAUGGGGGCAACCCUGAUCCAGCGAUGCCGCGUGGGUGAAGAAGGCCUGCGGGUUGUAAAGCCCUUUCGGUGGUGAAGAGGUGAGUUUGUGCGAAUAACACGGACUCAUGACGGUAACCACAAAAGAAGCACCGGCUAACUCUGUGCCAGCAGCCGCGGUAAGACAGAGGGUGCAAGCGUUAAUCGGAAUUACUGGGCGUAAAGGGCGUGUAGGCGGACUGUCAAGUCAGAUGUGAAAGCCCUGGGCUUAACCUGGGAACGGCAUUUGAAACUGAGAGUCUAGAGUGAAGCAGAGGGUAGCGGAAUUUCCGGUGUAGCGGUGAAAUGCGUAGAUAUCGGAAGGAACACCAGUGGCGAAGGCGGCUACCUGGGCUUUAACUGACGCUGAGGCGCGAAAGCGUGGGGAGCGAACAG